AUGAUUGCGAAUGGUCGCCUUCGGUGCUGGCUCUCUUGCAAGUGCACGUUGGCGGCUUUCAUCCAAUACCCUUGUGAACCUUUGGCCUCCAGUGUGCUAGCUUCGGCUGGCGGAGGAUUUUUACACACUCUCGAAUGUAAUGAACACUAUUAUCGUGCGCAAGCACUAAUGUA
This 173-nucleotide unclassified non-coding RNA is filed under the name uncultured Sebacina. RNAcentral describes it as "sequence contains ITS1". The record is from RNAcentral. Lineage: Eukaryota; Fungi; Basidiomycota; Agaricomycetes; Sebacinales; Sebacinaceae.